Molecule: long non-coding RNA, 316 nt
Organism: Cygnus olor (mute swan)
Lineage: Eukaryota; Metazoa; Chordata; Aves; Anseriformes; Anatidae
Exons: 3
Source: RefSeq, a predicted model, not a curated record
UUACUUUCGCAUCUGUGCUGUGCAUGCAAGGAGGUUCCUUGCUGAAUGGCCAUAUCCUCAAAACAUUGUUCUUCAAGAACCUUUGAGGGUGACAGCUAUCCAUUCAGCAUUAAUGGAAGCAGCAUGCGCAGAGAUGUUUUUUUUUUAACACUAUACAGUGUCUUACAGCCUCAGAGUUGAAACCUCAAUGCUUACAUUGCUGGACUUCGCUGCAGCUUCGUCAGAGUGAAGUACAAGGUUGAUUCUACUUUUGAUGGCCUGUUUCUCUCUACCUGUAUGCUCAGGGAAAGACAGUCCUGCAUCACUUCGCAUUUGG